UCUCCUUGGACGGUGAAGUCUCAGAAGAGGAAUUUGCCCAAAUUGACUGGUAUUGCAAGCAUGCCUGAUGGCAAGUACUUGGCUUGGCUUCUGGCCGGGAGAGGCUACUAAAAGUUCAACCUAGAGAUUCCUUAUGAGAAGUUCCAGCAAAGCAGA
Molecule: long non-coding RNA, 156 nt
Organism: Lutra lutra (Eurasian river otter)
Lineage: Eukaryota; Metazoa; Chordata; Mammalia; Carnivora; Mustelidae
Exons: 3
Source: RefSeq, a predicted model, not a curated record